UGGUGAGUGAGUCUUGCUCGUGGGGCAGUUUGCUGGAAAACGCUGCUGGGAAUCCUGGUUUCAGAGCAGGCUUGGAGCCCUUAUUCCUGGGACAAGGAUAAGUGAAAAGAACAUGCUUGCAAGACCACAGACUGAACACUGAACCAGCCUCCUCCUCCAAUCAAUGUCAUCACCACUUCCAGAAAAACAACAGGAGGAAUUCAGCCAACUGGAGAGCAUACCUUGGGUGAACUUAGGUAAGUCUUACUCUACAUUUGUGCUGGUUUUUAUCAGAAGUGCUUUAGCACUGAGGCAAAGAAGCUGUUUCAACAUCUGGCCAAACCAGUCUGCUAAGUGCAUUCCACAAGCUUUACAUUAACACUGGAAACUCCACUGCUGUGCUUUCUUAGGAUACCUGUGCACAGAGGUAGCCAUAAAUCUACCUGCUGCAAUAGCCUUGGUGUUAAACCAUAGAGAAAGCAUCAGUUUUUUCCCUUGCACUUUACUUGUUCAAGGCCAUGUCAGUAUUAGCCAUUAGUUUUAUGCAGAAUCUCAUGAUACAAAGGAGUUAAUGAGACUGACUACAUAUAAACAUGAUUUUUGGAUCAUCCAGGGGUAUAAAGACCAUAGUAAAGAAU
RNAcentral lists this long non-coding RNA (617 nucleotides) under Cyanistes caeruleus (blue tit). Its description in RNAcentral is "lncRNA (ENSCCEG00000015785.1)". Lineage: Eukaryota; Metazoa; Chordata; Aves; Passeriformes; Paridae. The record is from RNAcentral.